UAUGCAUAUGAUGUAAAGAUAGACCGUGACAUCAGAAGUCUUUCCAGGGUAUGGUGACUCGUCUUUGGGAAUCUCUCUGAUGCAUA
Molecule: non-coding RNA, 86 nt
Organism: Amborella trichopoda
Lineage: Eukaryota; Viridiplantae; Streptophyta; Magnoliopsida; Amborellales; Amborellaceae
Source: Rfam